ACAACCCCAAUUUCCCUCUUGCUGAUCUUCUCACAACCCACACGCUACCACUACCCUCUUCUCACAACUCACCCAUCCGAAUGUCGUCGAAUCUGCUACCAUCCGAACGUCAUCGAACCUGCUACCCUUCGAAUGCUGUCGAACGCUGUUGCUACUUGCUAAGUACCAUCCGAAUGUUGUCAAAGGUCGCCGCUACCAUCCGAACGCUGCCGCUCCCUUGCUCGCCGAAUGUCGUAACUGAGCAAGUGCUCGAUUCGAACUGAGUAACUAUCGAACGUUGUCGGUUUUGAUGUGUAAGGCAUAAAAAUAUCUUUAUCAUCUUUAUCAUCUAUUUCCAGUUAUAUGUAUUGCAAUAUCCUCUCAGACCACGUUGGAGGCCCUUUGAAUUUGAGGGGCGAUGUGAUGAGGUGAGCAUUUUUUUUAAUUCCUUAUCAUUCUGAAAGAAUUUGAACUGUACUCUUUUAGUUUCAACAGGUAAGAGUUAAACCUAGCACUGUAGAAGUGGAAAUCGACCUGAAUGUUGAUAUUGAAUCCAAUAACUAUGACAGCAAACCUGAUUGCACAUUCCAUAUGAAGAAGCAUACUUUGACAUCUUCAUGACAACCGCCUCUAGCUACGUCAUAUGCUAUUGGGCUGCUUAUGCAACAUAAGGUUCAAGGGCUAAAUUGUUACAACACUACAAGAGACGAGGGUACUCCCGACGCACAAAAACAUCGAAAAAAGUGAAAAAAACAUCAGGAAAUGAUAUGCCGAUGUUUUUCACGACGUCGGGAAUAACGUUGGAAGAAAUGAAUUGGGAGAGGCAUUCCCGUCGUACCAACACGAUGUCAAGAAUGCAUCUCUCGAUACCGUGACAUGCGUCGGCCAAAGUGGCGUUGGGAGUUCCUUUCCCAACAGACCUUAUGUCGAUGCAUGACGCAGCGUUGGGAAUGCUUUUUUCGACGUCUUUUGUGCAUCGAGAAACUCUUCUCCGACGUGUCUAAUGCAUCCUAGUCCCGACGUUUCAUUGCGUCGAGAAUUCAUUUUUAUAUUUUUUUUAAACAUGUAAUUUCUAAUUUUUUUUCCUAAAAUAUUGUCCUCAAACAUUCACAACCACAUUCGGAUUGCUCAAAUAUUUUUCCCGACGUUUUGGAUUAAAUUAAGACAAAUUCAAUAUAAAUUAAUAAAUUAAGAAAUACAAACACAAAUUAAAAAAAGAUGUUUUAAAGUUAAUAAUACGAAUAAGUUCAAAAAAUAUUAGUAAGUUUAAUACAAAAAACGUAGUCCUCAUAAUACAAAAAGACGCAAACAUAAUAAAAAAGUCUCCUGACGAGGCGCGUACGCGUCAUUCUACACCUUCGGUCCUACAAUGAUAUAAAAGUAACUAAGUUUAGUACAUAUAUCCAUAUGUUCACUGUAUACCAUCAUUGCAAAAAUUUAAGAAUAAUGAAGACAUAUAUACGUACCACAAAGCUAGAGAUCAUGUGGUCGUCCCUGUUGUGCAUGAGUGAAGUCUUCUAUCAGCUUUUGCAUUCGUUCAACUUGUGAAGCUAACGCUUGGUAAUUUCUAUCUUGUACUUCAAUCCAUUCCAAAACUUCAUUAAGUUUAGCUUGUAAUUCAAUCUCUUUUUGUGUGGAUUGUGAACAAGAUGUCGAGGAACUGUUCGCACUCGUCGUCCUGCGGGCCUUCGGCUUGGGUCUCCAACCAAGGCCUUUUGAGUAGCCUGAUCGUCUACCUAACACCUGAUUGCAUAUCUCAUCCUCAGAGAGUGGCUGACUACCCUAGGGUAGGCUGGGAUUGGAGUUCCAGCAUUUGAUUCUGCAACAAAUUUAAGAACUAUGUUAGGUAACGCGCAAAAAUAUAUAAUGAAAGAGAAUAAUUAACAAGGGCAUAACUUACAUGUGCAUCCUCUGCGGCCUGCGACACGAACGUCCCAGGUCGAACGUGUGUUUCUUUGAACAAUUCCACACGAUCGACCGACUCUCCUUUUCUCUCAAUGAGCUCGUACUGUCGUUGUAGAAACGACUUAGACCCGCUACUAUGACUAUAAGGUUGCUUCUGUCUAGUAGUCUUGUUCGUCCGUGAUUGCUCAUGCAUGAAAACAAUUAUAUUGUCUAUUUCUUAUACAUAUUAAAACUUGAAAUCAUAACUAACUUCAAACUACGGACGCUACCAUAACUGUAGGAUAGUCAACACAAUCUAACUAUUAACAACAAAAUACUUCAAGCUAUCCUACUACCACCCCUUGAAACCAUCCCAAAUAGAAGCAAAUUCAAAACAAAAAAUGCUAACUGCAGGAUAGCCAUCUCAAAUCAACAACAAAGAUAUUCAACACAAACAGGCUACAAUAACUGCAGGAUAGCUAAAACAAAUCUUAACACACAUAUUAUAUUUUCAAUUGAAAACAUAAACCCCCUUCAAAUUAAAUGCAAUACCCCCCCCCCCCCCCACACACACACAUUCAAAUUUGAAUUCAACCAUAACCCCCUACAAAAAUUUCAAUUUAGGUAGUAACCCCCCAUUCAAAUUUCAAUUUAGCUAAUAAAUCACCCCUUCAAAUUUCAAUUUAAGUAUAACCCCCUUCAAAUUUCAAUUUAACUAUAACCCCCCUCCUCCAAUUCAAUUUUCAAUUUAACUAUAAACCAUAAACCCUAAAUCCUUCAAAUUUCAAUUUAACUAUAAACUCCCCCCCUCCCCCAAUUGAAUUUUCAAUUUAACCAUAAAUCCUAAAUCCUAAAUCCUUCAAAUUUCAAUUCAACCACAAAUUACACACAUUCUAUACAAAAAUACAUUUAACAAACAAAAAUCUAUUCAAAAACAAAAUCCUAAAACAAUUUUCUUAAAAAAAAAAUCCUAAAACUUAUAUUUAAACUAAACAAACUUUAUAUUUAAACUUACCUAAGGUGGCAGACGAUGAGGGAUGGCAACGACGACGGAACGGACGACGACGAGCUACAGACCGCGACGAAUCUUCGUUUCUCUCUUCUCCCUUUCCCUUUCGUUUUCAGUUAUGUGUAAAACAAAACUGAAACGUUUAUAAAGGGGAUCUCCCGAUGCAGCACAAAUACGUCGGGAGAUCCCCUUUAUGGCGUUGGGAAUAAGGGUAUUCCUGACACUCAUUAAAAGGUUUUCCCAACGCACAAUAAUGUGUCGGGAAAACCCCUUAUUUUCGAUGUCGUUCUUGACGCACUGUGCAUUACUUCGGAAAUAAGGUGUAUUUUAAAUUUAAUUUGGCCUUAUUCCCGACGCCGUUUGGCCGACGCAUGCUCGAAGCAUCGCGAAUACCCUUUUCCCAAUGCCAUUCCCGACGCCACAGUUUUCUCCGAUGCAGUUUUCAUAACGCGUCUGUCCGGCGUUGGGAAUAACCUUAUUUUCGACGUUCUUUGUGUCGAUGUCCUUUUAGGCGUCGGAAAAGCCCCUAUUUCUUGUAGUGCAAGUAUUGUAACUAUCUUUAUCCUUACUGACUAAAGGUUAGAUAAUAAUUUUUUACUUCUGUAGAAGCUUAAGACUAUACCCAGAGCUAUUUUCUCUUGGGAGUGCCCUUGCAACCAACGCCAAUAACAAGAAUGCAAUAGAAAGGGCGUGGAUUUGGUAAAAGUAGAAUUAGGUUUCAUAAAACUUGACUACUAAACCACUUGUAGGAGCAUCAAGAAGACGACGAUGAGGGAGGACGAGGAAGAGGAUGAGGAAGAUGACUAAAUUGAAAACCAAGUUGUUUGUAUCGACCAAUCCAGCUUGGUAGAGGGAGGAAGGUGACAUAUGUUCAUCGUUUAUCAAAAUAUAAGAGGAUGAGGAGGAUGACUAAUUGAAAGACAAGUUUAAAAAAUAUACCAAUCAACCCCUCACCCUUCAUAUACCAAGAAUGCAAUAUACAAUUCCAUGCUGAUUUUGAUAAAUGGAGAUUAGUGUUGUUAAGAAAAGGGAUGAAAUGGAAGCUUUUGUUACUAUGUUUCCUUAUUUUCUUUAUUUGUUUUCUUGGAGGAAAUUUAUGAUGGGGGCUUGAAGAAACCUAAUGUUGUGUAGAAAUUUAUUUUAAUGCAUGUACAAUAUUCUAAAAUAUGUGCAAUCUUAUCUUUGCAAAAUAGAGCAAUAGCGAUGUUUCACUCGCAAAAGAAUAUUAAUAAAAGUAGGAAACGAACUUUAUGGCGAACAGUAAAAGCAAGUAUAAAUAUUUAAAUUAAUUGUAUUUUGUAGACUACUAGCAAUUAGGAUUAGUAUGUUAUCCUAAUUUGUUGUUGUAUAGUGUCCACUACAAGUCGGGAGCACUGAGUGUAGAUACUAUGUCAUGAAGUUUAUGAGAGAAAUUGUAAAUAGGGGAAGCAUUGUCAUCUCGGAUUCGGUAUGUUAUAUAUCAAACUAUUUCUUUCGUGGGUAUAAUAAUCUUCAUGAAUACUAAUUCAUUUAUUUUGCAUGUUUACAGAUUGAUACACGAAAACCGUACUCACAUGCCGAGUUAGAUGAGGUGUAGGUUGAGUUGGCUGAUUUUUGGGUUCGUACACAUGAUUGCGACUUAUUUGGGAUUUUGAAGCAAGAAACUUUCUGUUGUGACUGAUUUUUUUAAUUGUUCAUAUGGAGGGUGAGGGGUUGAUUGAUAUAUUUUUGAAACCUUAUGUUGUGGUCACCAUUUUGAAACUUUGUUGAUAGGUUAUUUGUUUAUAGGUGAAUUGUUCAUAUAGAGGGGGAUGAUAGGGAAAUUAUUCUGAAACUUUGUUGUUGUAGCCAUUCUGAAACUCUGAUGGAAUUGUAUAUUGGUUUUGUAAAUAAUAGGAAUAUUUGCAAAGCUUUGGAAAUGAUAUGGUAAAAGGUUUUAUAUUUGAUGAA
Long non-coding RNA from Cucumis melo (muskmelon), 4801 nucleotides. RefSeq lists it as uncharacterized. The record is from RefSeq and is a predicted model, not a curated record. The transcript has 3 exons. Lineage: Eukaryota; Viridiplantae; Streptophyta; Magnoliopsida; Cucurbitales; Cucurbitaceae.